GAUGAACGCUGGCGGCGUGCCUAAUACAUGCAAGUCGAGCGAACAGACGAGGAGCUUGCUCCUCUGACGUUAGCGGCGGACGGGUGAGUAACACGUGGAUAACCUACCUAUCAUACUGGGAUAACUUCGGGAAACCGGAGCUAAUACCGGAUAAUAUAUUGAACCGCAUGGUUCAAUAGUGAAAGACGGUUUUGCUGUCACUUCUAGAUGGAUCGGGGCUGCAUUAGCUAGUUGGUAAGGUCACGGCUUACCACGGCAACGAUGCGUAGCCGACCUGAGAGGGUGAUCGGCCACACUGGAACUGAGACACGGUCCAGACUCCUACGGGAGGCAGCAGUAGGGAAUCUUCCGCAAUGGGCGAAAGCCUGACGGAGCAACGCCGCGUGAGUGAUGAAGGUCUUCGGAUCGUAAAACUCUGUUAUUAGGGAAGAACAAAUGUGUAAGUAACUAUGCACGGCUUGACGGUACCUAAUCAGAAAGCCACGGCUAACUACGUG
RNAcentral lists this ribosomal RNA (497 nucleotides) under uncultured bacterium. RNAcentral's name for it is "partial 16S ribosomal RNA". It matches the Rfam family "Bacterial small subunit ribosomal RNA", at positions 28 to 507 of the family's 1533-position model. The record is from RNAcentral.